GGCACGGAGAUCACUAUCUUUCAUAAAGCAAUGAAGAAUGGACAGGGAGAACUGCUGGCUGAAAAUAUGAGAAGCCAGCACAUCCUGAAAGAAAUACCCUAGAUCCGCUUAAUGGGAAACGAAGCAGCUGGAACCCUAAACAGCAAUACCAAAUGAAUAUAAGAUUGACUGUAACAAGAGGGAGCAAACUCAUGCCUUUAUUCCAUAAGGGUCUAAAUCAAAGGGGUACCA
This 231-nucleotide long non-coding RNA is filed under the name Homo sapiens (human). RNAcentral's name for it is "non-protein coding lnc-FSTL5-2:1". The record is from RNAcentral. Lineage: Eukaryota; Metazoa; Chordata; Mammalia; Primates; Hominidae.